CCCUUAUCCUUUGUUGCCAGCGGUCCGGCCGGGAACUCAAAGGAGACUGCCAGUGAUAAACUGGAGGAAGGUGGGGAUGACGUCAAGUCAUCAUGGCCCUUACGACCAGGGCUACACACGUGCUACAAUGGCAUAUACAAAGAGAAGCGACCUCGCGAGAGCAAGCGGACCUCAUAAAGUAUGUCGUAGUCCGGAUUGGAGUCUGCAACUCGACUCCAUGAAGUCGGAAUCGCUAGUAAUCGUAGAUCAGAAUGCUACGGUGAAUACGUUCCCGGGCCUUGUACACACCGCCCGUCACACCAUGGGAGUGGGUUGCAAAAGAAGUAGGUAGCUUAACCUUCGGGAGGGCGCUUACCACUUUGUGAUUCAUGACUGGGGUGAAGUCGUAACAAGGUAACCGUAGGGGAACCUGCGGUUGGAUCAC
This 424-nucleotide ribosomal RNA is filed under the name Klebsiella pneumoniae. RNAcentral describes it as "bacterial SSU rRNA". It matches the Rfam family "Bacterial small subunit ribosomal RNA", at positions 1102 to 1526 of the family's 1533-position model. The record is from RNAcentral. Lineage: Bacteria; Pseudomonadati; Pseudomonadota; Gammaproteobacteria; Enterobacterales; Enterobacteriaceae.